RNAcentral lists this transfer RNA (76 nucleotides) under Candidatus Nomurabacteria bacterium. Its description in RNAcentral is "tRNA-Thr". It matches the Rfam family "tRNA". Rfam says of the family: Transfer RNA (tRNA) molecules are approximately 80 nucleotides in length. Lineage: Bacteria; Candidatus Nomuraibacteriota. The record is from RNAcentral.
GCUGGAGUAGCUCAGCUGGUAGAGCAGCGGUUUUGUAAACCGCAGGUCAUGGGUUCAAAUCCCUUCUCCAGCUCCA